Molecule: ribosomal RNA, 406 nt
Filed under: uncultured bacterium
Lineage: Bacteria
Description: partial 16S ribosomal RNA
Rfam family: Bacterial small subunit ribosomal RNA
Source: RNAcentral
AUUGAACGCUGGCGGCAGGCUUAACACAUGCAAGUCGAGCGAGCGGCGGACGGGUGAGUAAUGUCUGGGAAACUGCCUGAUGGAGGGGGAUAUCUACUGGAAACGGUAGCUAAUACCGCAUACCAUCAGAUGAGCCCAGAUGGGAUUAGCUAGUAUGUGGGGUAAUGGCUCACCUAGGCGACGAUCCCUAGCUGGUCUGAGAGGAUGAAAAGCCACACUGUGACUAAGACACGUUCCAGACUCACCCGGAAGGCAGCAGUCGGGAAUAUUGCACGAUGGGCGCAAGCCUGAUGCAGCCAUGCCGCGGGUGUGAAGAAUGUCGUCGGAUUGUAAAGCACUUUCAGCGAGGAGGCGUUACUCGCAGAAGAGGCACCGGCUAGCUCCGUGCCAGCAGCCACAGUAGUAC